RNAcentral lists this signal recognition particle RNA (63 nucleotides) under Gammaproteobacteria bacterium. Its description in RNAcentral is "partial signal recognition particle sRNA small type". It matches the Rfam family "Bacterial small signal recognition particle RNA", at positions 1 to 63 of the family's 97-position model. From Rfam's summary of the family: The signal recognition particle (SRP) is a universally conserved ribonucleoprotein involved in the co-translational targeting of proteins to membranes. Archaeal SRP consists of a 7S RNA and homologues of the eukaryotic SRP19 and SRP54 proteins. In most bacteria, the SRP consists of a 4.5S RNA and the Ffh protein (a homologue of the eukaryotic SRP54 protein). The record is from RNAcentral. Lineage: Bacteria; Pseudomonadati; Pseudomonadota; Gammaproteobacteria.
AUUCGGUCCCCUCGCAACGAAGCGCUGUGAACCCGGUCAGGCCCGGAAGGGAGCAGCCGCAGC